UACGUAGGGGCCAAGCGUUGUCCGGAUUCAUUGGGCGUAAAGAGCUCGUAGGCGGUUCAGUUAGUCGGGUGUGAAAUCUCCGGGCUCAACCCGGAGGGGCCACCCGAUACUGCUGUGACUCGAGUCCGGUAGGGGAGUGGGGAAUUCCUGGUGUAGCGGUGAAAUGCGCAGAUAUCAGGAGGAACACCGGUGGCGAAGGCGCCACUCUGGGCCGGUACUGACGCUGAGGAGCGAAAGCGUGGGUAGCAAACAGG
This 254-nucleotide ribosomal RNA is filed under the name uncultured bacterium. RNAcentral's name for it is "partial 16S ribosomal RNA". It matches the Rfam family "Bacterial small subunit ribosomal RNA", at positions 524 to 776 of the family's 1533-position model. The record is from RNAcentral.